CCUACGUGAGGCAGCAGUGAGGAAUAUUGGUCAAUGGACGAGAGUCUGAACCAGCCAAGUAGCGUGUAGGAUGACUGCCCUAUGGUUUGUAAACUCUUUUUACAUGGGAAUAAAAUGUUCCACGUGUGGGAUUUCGUAUUUACCAUAUGCAUAAGGAACGCCUAACUCCGUGCCAGCAGCCGCGGUAAUAUGGAGGAUGCGAGCGUUACCCGGAUUUAUUUGGUUUAAAGGUAGCGUCGGUGGAUUGUUAAGUCAGUUGUGAAAGUUUGCGGCUCAACCGGACAAUUGCAGUUGAAACUGGCAGUCUUGAGUACAGUAGAGGUGGGCGGAAUUCGUGGUGUAGCGGUGAAAUGCUUAGAGAUCACGAAGAACACCGAUUGCGAAGGCAGCUCACUGGACUGCAACUGACACUGAGGCUCGAAAGUGUGGGUAUCAAACAGGAUUAGAUACCCGAGUAGUC
This 460-nucleotide ribosomal RNA is filed under the name uncultured bacterium. RNAcentral's name for it is "partial 16S ribosomal RNA". It matches the Rfam family "Bacterial small subunit ribosomal RNA", at positions 338 to 795 of the family's 1533-position model. The record is from RNAcentral.